Long non-coding RNA from Dermochelys coriacea (leatherback sea turtle), 2439 nucleotides. RefSeq lists it as uncharacterized. The record is from RefSeq and is a predicted model, not a curated record. NCBI's taxonomy places the organism in Eukaryota, Metazoa, Chordata, Testudines, Dermochelyidae. The transcript has 5 exons.
CAAAUAUGACUUCCUUUGAAGUAUGGUAGUUGUUCGUUCUUAGCUGCUCUUCUGGCAAAACAUCUUGCUAAUGGGGUUUUCCUUCCCCCCCGCCCCUGGCUUACCUAGGCAAAUAAGGAUUCUCCAGGUUCCCUCCCUUUGACUGAUGAUCAUUUAACCGCCAAAACCACAACGGGGCAUUUACUCUUGUAAAUGGGGUCAUUCCAUGUGCAUACAUGAGCUGCAGAUAUCGAGAGCAGAAGGGUGCAGCAGAAGAAAAACAAAGGAGGCGCCUAAGCAGAGGUCCACUUCUCCCAGUGAACCACUCAGAAGUCAUUAGAAGGAGCCCUUUUGUGAUACUGUAUCAUCUUCUAGGAAUUACUUUGCUGUAAGAGAAGAGUAAGAAGAAGGAAUUAAUGAUUUCCCUCCUCUCCUCCUCCCCCCAACUGGGCCUGAAAGAUUAUAAACUGAGGCAGAUCUUGUAUAUGAUGAUGUCAUCCAGUUUUACUUGCAAGUUUCCUCCCAGAAAGUACAGGAAGAUGGGAGACUCUGAAGAGGCUGUCUACACAAGGAUUAAAUUACACUUUGUCUUCCUUCUAUAGAUACCUCCUUACAUUGUAAACUGAUCUAAAAUAUAUAGUAACAUCCAAAAUUACAAAAAGUUUGUUAAAAUGAAUGUAUUUAACCCACACAGUGUGCUUUAAACAUACAUUUUUACUGAAAGUGUAAAAAGCUUUUGUAUAUUGAUGUAAAUACCAUAAAUGCCCUCUGCAAUGAUUUCCCUUAAAAAAAGUCAGAUAAUAAUUAAUAAUUUGGAGGAGCUACACUGUGUGCGAGACAUGCAUAAGCUAGAGCUAACUUCUGGUAGCAAACAUACUGGCAAUACAUUUUUUUUAAAAUAGAAUUUUUCUACAUAUUUCCUUUUUAUUAUCUCUAAGUGACAUAUGGUAAAGCUAAAACAUACAGAUAUAAAUUUGUAUAUAAUUUUCUAUUUCAAGGUCCAUGAGAGACCACAGAUUUAAUUUCGAUCUUGUUUAUGUUGGUUUUACAUCAAUGAAAUUCCACUAAUAGUUACUCCUGUCUUACACGGAUGGACGUAUGAUGAGAAUCAGGCCUUAGAUCUACAGGGGAUCACUUCACCCACCACUGAAAUGCAACCUCCUGAAUAACAGCAUAUUGUGAUAUCAACUAAUAGAAAAUAUGAAAUGUAUUUUGAAGGGAGUUUUCAACACACUGAGAUGUUGGAUUAUGUACCUAUUUCUGAAGAGAGUUUUGGUUCAAAGGAAACCAAGAAUUGUAGAUGUUCAUGGGAUAACGGUCAGUUUGAAAGACCAGGUAAAAGACUAGCUCUUUAAGAAUGGAGGUCAUGUAGUAAAGUAUGUGGGCCCAGAAAAUCUGUUGGAUUCUAUGGAGAGAGUCUAUAGAGAGCUAUAAAUAACUAGAAAGCAUUUAACCAAGAAGCAAUGGAAUGAGUAAAAUAAGAGGCAAAUUGUUGCGAUAUUAUGUUAGCAAGGUUAGAGAGUUGGAAAGCUUCCACCAGGUAAUGUUUUAUAGCUUCUAACUUUUGGUUCUUUCUUUACACAGUUUGUAAUAUUUUACCUUCCUAUAAUAUUGGAGCUUGAUUUUUGCAAUAAAGUGAUACUUAGAACUCUUAUUAUUUUUUUUUAAAUGGGACUUCCCUAAAUGGAAUAGUUACAGUACAAAGCCUAGUGUUUAGAAUAAAGUUUAAAAUUUAUUUUUCUCCACUGUUUGGGUUUUUUCUAUUGGAGAAAUAUUGAUUUCCCCUCCCUUCCCCUAAUGUUUUAAAUUGAACUGAAUUUAACAUAUGGAGCUCAUGUGUGUAUAGUUUCAUCUUAUACGGAGCCUUGUGCCAAAACAUCUUUGUGCAUUAACUUUACUAAUUGGUGUCAGCACACCUCUGGGAAUAAAUGUUAUUAGUUAACUGCUAUUUCAGAGCCAAGGACAACACAACUACUUAUUUUUUUAUAAGCACUACUAAACAAGUGGCUGUUUUUUGUCAAUAAUGAUGUCAUACAGUACAUAAAAUCCGAGGCCUUUCAAAUAUACAGUAGUAAUCAAUUUCAAGCAAAAAAAAAAGGGUUAUACCCUCAGCUUGUGUAAACUGCUGUGUUUACACAGGUUGAGGAUCUGGCCUGUAAGAGUUGGUGGUGUGUAUUUUAGAGACCAGUGAAGGAGAUAGGACCCAGGCUCAUGAGCUGAAUAUACGUGCAAAUAUAAGGGUCAUAGGUCAACUGGCUCCAAGGCAGAUGCUGUAAAUUGUACAAAAUAUACCACUGUGCUGAAGAUGAUUAUGACUGAUCUUGUCCAAGACUAUGUAAAGCUGAGUAGCAGAUGUGAAGUAUGUGCAGAAUAAAACAUUCCAAGCAGUCAUCAGACAAAGGGGAGUAUGUACUACGCUACAGAGAUUAAGCAAAUUGACUAAAUCAGAUUGGUAAGUCU